RNAcentral lists this ribosomal RNA (421 nucleotides) under uncultured Bacteroidales bacterium. RNAcentral's name for it is "bacterial SSU rRNA". It matches the Rfam family "Bacterial small subunit ribosomal RNA", at positions 355 to 774 of the family's 1533-position model. The record is from RNAcentral. Lineage: Bacteria; Pseudomonadati; Bacteroidota; Bacteroidia; Bacteroidales.
UGAGGAAUAUUGGUCAAUGGGCGCAAGCCUGAACCAGCCAUGUAGCGUGAAGGAUGACGGUUUUUUUGAUUGUAAACUUCUUUUCUGUGCGAUUAAAGUGUGGCAUUUAUGCCAUAUUGCAGUUAUCUCAGGAAUAAGCAUCGGCUAACUCCGUGCCAGCAGCCGCGGUAAUACGGAGGAUGCGAGCGUUAUCCGGAUUUAUUGGGUUUAAAGGGAGCGUAGAUGGUUUUUUAAGUCAGCUGUCAAAUGUAUGGGCUCAACCCUUAUUAUCAGUUGAAACUGUAAGACUUGAGUGCGGUGUGGGUACAUGGAAUUCGUGGUGUAGCGGUGAAAUGCAUAGAUAUCACGAAGAACUCCGAAAGCGUAGGCAUUGUACCAUAGCGCCACUGACAUUGAUGCUCGAAGGUGCGGGAAUCAAACA